AAGACUGAGGAUAGACCUCAAAUUAUCUGAGGGGAAGGUGUCAAGAGGAUGAACCUGGUCUCUUUUCAGUUGAGCCCAGCUACAGGAUGAGAGGCAAUGGGCAUAAACUGAAGCACAGGAGGUUCUGGCUGAAUAUAAGAGGGCACUUCUUUACUGCGAGGGUGACGGAGCACUGGCACAGGUUGCCCAAAGAGGUUGUGGAGUCUCCUUCUCUGGAGAUAGUCAAAACCCACCCGGAUGCCAUCCU
This is a long non-coding RNA of Cygnus olor (mute swan), 247 nucleotides long. RefSeq lists it as uncharacterized. The record is from RefSeq and is a predicted model, not a curated record. The transcript has 3 exons. NCBI's taxonomy places the organism in Eukaryota, Metazoa, Chordata, Aves, Anseriformes, Anatidae.